CAAAAAAAAAAAAAAGUUUCCCUUUCUGCUGCCGCAACCUCAUUGAGUCACCUCACCCUGGAGCACUGGGGAACAUAGGUACAUCCACGAUAUUCACCCAAAAGCACCUAUGGAUUCCUCCGUAGAGAAUCAUUGUAUUCACAGUAUUUAAAGCAUGAGAGCUAGGAAGUAACAUUUCUGGCUCUCAUACCCUGAGAGCCUAGACGCAUGUCUUGAGGCCUCUCUUCAAAGCUUUCUAUUUAGGUUUUUUUUUAAAAGGGUUUGGGGUGUAAAACAGGUCGACCAGCACUGAAUGCACUAUAACUACUUCAAUAAGAUGAAGUUGUUAAAAUGUACAGUAUUCCUGUAAGGAAGGAUAAAAUGGUUACGUAGAGGUGCAAUAAUUCCACAUAUUUAUAACAUAUUACUGUGGCUGUUACCUAGUAGUACAAGUGUUGACAAGCCACCAUAUAGC
This is a non-coding RNA of Pelobates cultripes (western spadefoot toad), 454 nucleotides long. NCBI's taxonomy places the organism in Eukaryota, Metazoa, Chordata, Amphibia, Anura, Pelobatidae. The record is from the annotation of a GenBank genome assembly.